Non-coding RNA from Marasmius tenuissimus, 101 nucleotides. The record is from the annotation of a GenBank genome assembly. Lineage: Eukaryota; Fungi; Basidiomycota; Agaricomycetes; Agaricales; Marasmiaceae.
UCCCUGGUAGUAUAUCGGUUAGUACACGCGCCUGUCAUAGUGGAGGGAAGAUGUUUUCACUCUGUCCGCGCGAAAGCUGGGUUCGACUCCCAGCCAGGGAG